UAAUACAUAUAUGAUGUUAUAGAUGUUGUGUUAAUAGAUAUAUUUGAUGUUAUAGAUGUUGUAUUAAUAGAUGAACGAUAUUAUAGAUGUAUUAAUAUUUUAUUAAGUGUGUUUUGUUUGAACAUGAAUUGUAAUUUCCAUAUAUAUAUAUAGGGAGAGUGCCACUAUAUUACAGUCCUCACUUAUAAUUUAUUUUUGCAAACUUUAGUCGAAGGCGUAUGCUUCCAGGUACAAAAAUGUUUUUCAUAUUCUGGCGUGUAUAGAAUUAGAAAUUUAUAAUUAUCUUAUAAAAAUUAUAAAUAUUUAAAGGGAAAUAAACGCAAGGAAAUGAAAAGGACCUCAAACAAAGAUCUUCCAACUGCUAGCUGUGUGUGCUUACAACUUUAUCUCAAAGAAUGCCCAAACGUAAAAUAAGAGGAGAUUUUUGCUAGUUCUGAAGCAAAAUGGAAAAAAAAAAAAAAAAAAAAAAAAAAAAGAACAGCCAAAA
Long non-coding RNA from Stegodyphus dumicola, 487 nucleotides. NCBI's taxonomy places the organism in Eukaryota, Metazoa, Arthropoda, Arachnida, Araneae, Eresidae. The record is from RefSeq and is a predicted model, not a curated record.